This is a non-coding RNA of Caerostris darwini, 145 nucleotides long. The record is from the annotation of a GenBank genome assembly. NCBI's taxonomy places the organism in Eukaryota, Metazoa, Arthropoda, Arachnida, Araneae, Araneidae.
AACGGCCGUACCAUGCUGAAUAUACCGGUUCUCGUUAGAUCACCGAAGUGAAGUCAUUCGAGGGGGGGGUGGGAAUGGGGCACGGGCAUCAUUGGGCGCGGUCAGUACUUGGGUGGGUGACCACCUGGGAACACCGCGUGCCGUU